Molecule: ribosomal RNA, 398 nt
Filed under: uncultured Oxalobacteraceae bacterium
Lineage: Bacteria; Pseudomonadati; Pseudomonadota; Betaproteobacteria; Burkholderiales; Oxalobacteraceae
Description: bacterial SSU rRNA
Rfam family: Bacterial small subunit ribosomal RNA
Source: RNAcentral
CUGAUUAGCUAGUUGGUGGGGUAAAGGCCUACCAAGGCAUCGAUCAGUAGCUGGUCUGAGAGGACGACCAGCCACACUGGAACUGAGACACGGUCCAGACUCCUACGGGAGGCAGCAGUGGGGAAUUUUGGACAAUGGGCGCAAGCCUGAUCCAGCAAUGCCGCGUGAGUGAAGAAGGCCUUCGGGUUGUAAAGCUCUUUUGUCAGGGAAGAAACGGCAUGCUCUAAUACAGUGUGCUAAUGACGGUACCUGAAGAAUAAGCACCGGCUAACUACGUGCCAGCAGCCGCGGUAAUACGUAGGGUGCAAGCGUUAAUCGGAAUUACUGGGCGUAAAGCGUGCGCAGGCGGUUUUGUAAGUUUGUCGUGAAAUCCCCGGGCUCAACCUGGGAAUGGCGAU